UACAGCUAGUGCAGCGGUUUCAAGCAAAGAGGACACAGUUGACGAAAAACGGACUAGUGAUGACAUAACAUCAAUUGCGGUCUAUGGCAAGGAAUUUGUGUACAGAACAACACCAGCGAAACAUGUAUAUAGCAGUGGAAGUUCAAGUCAUAUACAUUCGGCUAAGCUUG
Molecule: long non-coding RNA, 170 nt
Organism: Saccostrea cuccullata (small rock oyster)
Lineage: Eukaryota; Metazoa; Mollusca; Bivalvia; Ostreida; Ostreidae
Exons: 4
Source: RefSeq, a predicted model, not a curated record